AUAGGUUUGAAAUGGGGAAAUGGGCUUAAAGCCUUCUUCAGGAGAGAUUUACUCAGUUUUCUCCAGUGUCAUUCAGAGGCCAAGUUUUCAAGCCUUCCAGACUUUGACUUGUUUUGAUUUCACUACAAAAUCCUGCAAGAAUUCUGCCAACAGCGAGGCCAAUGUGUCUGAAAGCAGAUGGCACUUCCAGUACCUAAAGGCUGGUCAGGUUGAUUGCUUUGAGUCUGGAAGGUCAUCAUGGUUGAAGGCAUGAAGAUGAGGACAUCAAAGCCUUUGCC
Non-coding RNA from Agelaius phoeniceus (red-winged blackbird), 278 nucleotides. The record is from RefSeq and is a predicted model, not a curated record. Lineage: Eukaryota; Metazoa; Chordata; Aves; Passeriformes; Icteridae.